Molecule: ribosomal RNA, 225 nt
Filed under: Triticum aestivum (bread wheat)
Lineage: Eukaryota; Viridiplantae; Streptophyta; Magnoliopsida; Poales; Poaceae
Description: partial small subunit ribosomal RNA
Source: RNAcentral
AUGUGUUUGCCAAAAGAUAAAGUAGGCAUGGGGUUUAGGGACCUACACGCUUCCAACCUAGCCAUGUUGGCAAAACAAAGUUGGAGGAUGAUUACUCACCCUGAACCCUAUGUGCAAGUGUUGAGAUCAAAGUAUUCCCUUGAUGGAAAUCUGCUCAAGGCAGGCCCAAAGAAAGGAUCCUUGUAUACUUGGUAAAGCAUAUUUGCAGGAAUUCAAACCUUCUGA